AUGUUACUAGAGGGGAUUUUGUUUCACAAUACAUAGUGGGCGUAUCUUUUGUUAAAUUGUUUAAUGAAAGGUUAAAUGUAAACAUGGUGCUGAUUUUGUAUACAUAUAUUUCUAUUGUAGAUCAUGGCAACUCCUGCACCAUCCAGUUUUAACUUGUGGUCUAUUCUUGAGAAAGAGAAGUUGACUGGAACAAACUUCAUGGAUUGGUAUCGCAACCUGAGAAUUGUUCUCAGGCAAGAGCACAAAGAGUUUGUGCUUACAGAGCCUUUUCAGCUAACUUGCCCAACAAUGCUCCUGCUGCUCAACGUAGAGAGCAUGAAAAGCGAUGCAAUGAUUAUCUUGAUAUAAGCUAUCUCAUGCUUGCUACUAUGUCCCCUGAGCUUCAAAGGCAAUAUGAGGCAUUGGAUGCUCAUACGAUAAUCAAGGGACUACGUAACAUGUUUGAAGACCAAGCAAGAGCUGAGAGGUUUAAUACCUCAAAGUCCUUGUGUCGGAUCCCAAAACUAACAAUUUAGAAACUGACAUGUUUAACUGUAUCAAGCCCUGGAUCAGUAGAUUGAUACAGGUUCAACGAUCUGGAUCUUCAUCGCAUACAUUUGGUCAAGAUUCCAAAGGAGAUAUCUUUAUAUAAAAUAAUAGGAUAUUUACAAGUUUGUGGCUAACUACUACAGCAAAAGCUAUACGAUGAUCCAACUCUGCUGUUUUACUAUAGAAUUAAACCAUCUAAUUAUACUAGACUUGAAGAUUAGGUUAAAAGGGAACUAACUUAUGUGAUUGAACUCCUAGCUUCGGCAAAAACUCCAAUUAGACUCUGAAAAAGAUAGGUUGAAGCAAGGGUGAGUACAACGUACUCAGCAAGCUAUUAUAUUAUUCAACAAUCAAUGCAUGAGAGGUAAUAUCUGUGUAGAGCUAGAUUUACUUGUAGAAAGCUGACAAUAAAGAGGUAGAAAUCCUGAAAUGCUGAUAUGCAACAACAUUUAAGAAAAUAUUGAAUUAUAUUUCUAACCAAAGUACUAUAUGAGUCCCGAUGCUCAAAUCCGUGAGCACGGCUAUUCGAAUAGAUUCAAUGAUAUUCAUACUGUAGUAGAUGUACGCUUUACCCGCAGUCCAUAGCUUGCCAAUAAUCAUUAGCUUAGUCAUGGCCCAGUAUUAAGUUAUUAACAAUAGUGGCACCUGUUCCAUGAACUCUAGUCCCCAUGCGCUCUGAACGUAACGUUAUCAGCAGUGAGAGGAGUUCUGGUGUUCCCGAGGUUUUUCAGAGAGAACUGGAUGACAGACCCCACGUCAUCUCAACCAAGUUUCCAUAAAUUCACACACACACAUUGCACGACAAUCAAGAUAUUUACCUGCGCCUCGGUAAAUAUCACAUUUGCCCUGCUCGGCAUAUAUUUGCCUCCUUCGCGAGGACUUACAUAAGAACCACUAUACAGAGGCACCACAUUGUUAAUUAACAUAAUAUCUAGGUCUGUCCCCAUUCUAGAAGCUGCGGUCGUACUCGUUCGUUUGUACUUGGUAAACUUAUAUCGACCGAAACAGUACUAGCCACCCGGAAAUCAACCAAAUCUUACGUACUGUCCCAAUCUAAGUUCAUUAUAUUUUAUGCAAUCUAACUAGGCAGGGCUAAGCAAAAGCUAGCAUAUAAUUAGUUUGCUAUAUGUUCAGGUUAUGCAUUCAAAAUCAUGAAUGACUAAUGCAUAGAAUAGAAAUAUAGAAUAUAGGGUAAUUAUGCUCAAGGGUAGGAAUAAUAACUUGCCUUGCUCCAACGCAAAUAAAUCCAAGAUAGGCAACCUGAUUAUCCGAUUCUCGAAAUACCAUAGGCUGCCAUCCAAAAGACAAUAGACUACUGAGAAAGAGGAAGAACCAAUUUCAAUAAAAGCCAUAAAAUAAUAAGAAAACGAUAAACGGUAAAGAGGGCUUGGGUUUAGGGUAUAGCAUAUCUCUUUUGUAGGGCAUAGAGAUUACUGGGCUAAUAUUUUAUGUGGAAGUUCUAGAGGGUUGGAGGCUAAGGUAAAAAGGGAAUCAAGCAACUAAUGUUGCUUAUAUUUUAUGUGAAGACUCUCGUGGUUUGGAUGAUAGGAAAUAUACUGGAUAGUUGAUAUGGUUAAAUAGGUAUGUGGCUAGUAUGGGUCAAGGUUGGGCUUUUGUAGAAUAGUGGCUAGUGUUUAGUUGUUUAGGCCGACAUCGAGGUAGGAUAAUAUCGGCUAGGGUUUUGGGUGUUUGCUAGUCGUCGUUAGAGUUGGGUAGCAUGACGACUAGGUUUGGUAUCAUUUCUAGCCGUGUCGAUAGACAGCAUAUCGGCUAGAAGAAUAGGAGGUGGGUGCAGGUUUAGUGGGGUGGAAGUGUUACUCCAUCAACCGUGAGUGGCGACGGAGCGGCUAGGAUCACACAGAGCCCGAGAGCUAACUGUGCGGCGUGCAAUGGAGGUCGAGGGGAUAGUGAAGCUCCGACCGCUGUACGCAUCAAGGCGUGGGGUGCCAGGAGCAGCACUUCGACCUUAGGUUUGGUUUUUGCCGGGCUUUACAACCAACGGUUCGACGUUGAGGUCCAUAGACCGUGCAAACGUUCCCAUGGAAGGCGUAAAGUUUCAACCGGCGACUUUUUAGUGGCUAAAGGGCAUUUUGGAAAUAAAAGAAAAUAUUUGAAAAGCAAAUAUAAGUUUAGGUUUUAAAUUCAAUUAUAAGAUCAAAUAUUUAUUCAAAUGGUAUUCGAAUAAAAUAAGGAAAUUCAAAUAAAAUCUUAAAAUAGCAAAUUUGGUAUCAAAAUGAAGAGUUUGAAUUUAGAUAAAUUGAGGUCCAAAUUUCACUGGAAUCGGAUCUACGGUUUAGGAGAUAUGGGCUUCUAAAGAUUGAGAUUUGAAUUAAAUCUAGAAAAUACGAAAAGGUACUAUUUUAUGGGCCCACCUGUCAGCCUUUCUUCUUUAUCUUUUCUUCUUCUUCCUCUUCUUCUUCCCGUUCCUUCUUCUCUGUUCCAGACAGAGCCGAGAGAAGAGAGAGAGGAGAAGGCAAGCGGGGCGACGGCGCUCCGGUGGCUGGAGGGCGGCGACGUCGGCAGUAUAUCGUGUUCCCGGGCGACGCCCACUCGGGGAGGGUGGUAGCUAGCCAAGGGAAAGAGGGAGAUGGCCGGAACGGCGGCGACAAGAGCUCAGCUCCGGCGGUAAGAGAAGGUGGUGGUGGCGGUUUAUCUCAAGGUGGAGGGAGAGGGGAAAGGGGAAAAAUGGAAUCACCUCGGCGAGGCGGAGUUGGUGGCGCAAGAGUUUGGCUU
RNAcentral lists this long non-coding RNA (3261 nucleotides) under Oryza sativa (Asian cultivated rice). Its description in RNAcentral is "long non-coding RNA (OSAT_LNC001335)". The record is from RNAcentral. Lineage: Eukaryota; Viridiplantae; Streptophyta; Magnoliopsida; Poales; Poaceae.